Non-coding RNA from Hydra vulgaris (swiftwater hydra), 361 nucleotides. The record is from RefSeq and is a predicted model, not a curated record. Lineage: Eukaryota; Metazoa; Cnidaria; Hydrozoa; Anthoathecata; Hydridae.
AUUGGAAGGUGUUGGAGUAGUUUCAAAUUUUAAUAUUUAACAAAUAAUUUCUCAGAUAUUUCUAAAGUUAUUUGAAAUAUAAAACAAGUUGCACAUGCUCAUUUUAAGAUAAAGCAAAAAGAAGCUUUUGCGUAAUAUUGUUAAGCUUAACCAUAGUAGACUUCUAUCCAGCAAUUUUUUAAGCUUAACUAUAGUUUUAUCCAGACAUUUAUCCAGCAACUUUUUCAAUCAGGUAUGUUUUCGAAACCAGAUGAGGAAACUGUAAAAAAAUCUCCAAGAUGUUUGGUUCAUUUAUGGGAGUUUUUACUUGAAAUGUUAAUGGAUGAUUCGUUUACAUCGAUAAUUGAAUGGACAGACGAAA